CCUACGGGUGGCUGCAGUGAGGAAUAUUGGUCAAUGGACGAAAGUCUGAACCAGCCAAGUAGCGUGAGGGAUGACUGCCCUAUGGAUUGUAAACUUCUUUUGUCAGGGAGUAAAGCGUUCCACGUGUGGGGUUUUGUGUGUACCAGAUGCAAAAGCAUCGGCUAACUCCGUGCCAGCAGCCGCGGUAAUACGGAGGAUGCAAGCGUUAUCCGGUUUUAUUGGGUUUAAAGGGGGCGCAGUCGGAAUGUUAAGUCAGUGGUAAAAUUUCGGGGCUCAACCCCGUAGUGCCGUUGAAACUGGCGGUCUUGAGUAAAGUAGAGGUGUGCGGAAUGCGUGGUGUAGCGGUGAAAUGCAUAGAUAUCACGCAGAACUCCGAUUGCGAAGGCAGUAUACUGGCGCGCAACUGACACUCAGGCACGAAAGUGUGGGUAUCAAACAGGAUUAGAUACCCGAGUAGUC
RNAcentral lists this ribosomal RNA (459 nucleotides) under uncultured bacterium. RNAcentral's name for it is "partial 16S ribosomal RNA". It matches the Rfam family "Bacterial small subunit ribosomal RNA", at positions 338 to 795 of the family's 1533-position model. The record is from RNAcentral.